This 661-nucleotide ribosomal RNA is filed under the name soil bacterium Vanc-S1R-M1LLLSSL-3. Its description in RNAcentral is "bacterial SSU rRNA". It matches the Rfam family "Bacterial small subunit ribosomal RNA", at positions 86 to 743 of the family's 1533-position model. The record is from RNAcentral.
CUCUUGAGAGCGGCGGACGGGUGAGUAAUGCCUAGGAAUCUGCCUGGUAGUGGGGGAUAACGUUCGGAAACGGACGCUAAUACCGCAUACGUCCUACGGGAGAAAGCAGGGGACCUUCGGGCCUUGCGCUAUCAGAUGAGCCUAGGUCGGAUUAGCUAGUUGGUGGGGUAAUGGCUCACCAAGGCGACGAUCCGUAACUGGUCUGAGAGGAUGAUCAGUCACACUGGAACUGAGACACGGUCCAGACUCCUACGGGAGGCAGCAGUGGGGAAUAUUGGACAAUGGGCGAAAGCCUGAUCCAGCCAUGCCGCGUGUGUGAAGAAGGUCUUCGGAUUGUAAAGCACUUUAAGUUGGGAGGAAGGGCAGUAAAUUAAUACUUUGCUGUUUUGACGUUACCGACAGAAUAAGCACCGGCUAACUCUGUGCCAGCAGCCGCGGUAAUACAGAGGGUGCAAGCGUUAAUCGGAAUUACUGGGCGUAAAGCGCGCGUAGGUGGUUCGUUAAGUUGGAUGUGAAAUCCCCGGGCUCAACCUGGGAACUGCAUUCAAAACUGACGAGCUAGAGUAUGGUAGAGGGUGGUGGAAUUUCCUGUGUAGCGGUGAAAUGCGUAGAUAUAGGAAGGAACACCAGUGGCGAAGGCGACCACCUGGACUGAUACUGA